GUGAGUAUAAGACCUGAGUGUAAAGACCUUAGGGUGAAGCAAUUGGAGGGCAAGCUUUGGUGCCAGCAGCCGCGGUAACUCCAACUCCAAGAGUGUCUAUGGUGGAUGCUGCAGUUAAAGGGUCCGUAGUCGUGAAUGCAAUUAAAUGUCGUUGUUCAAUAGCGAUGAGUUUGCUGAUGUUUGCGGAACGGAUAGGGAGUGUAGUAUAGACUGGCGAAGAAUGAAAUCUCAAGACCCAGUUUGGACUAACGGAGGCGAAGGCGACACUCUUAGACGUAUCUUAGGAUCAAGGACGAAGGCAGGAGUAUCGAAAGUGAUUAGACACCGCUGUAGUUCCUGCAGUAAACUAUGCCGACAGCCUGUGUGUGAGAAUACGUGGGCGGGAGAAAUCUUAGUGUUCGGGCUCUGGGGAUAGUACGCUCGCAAGGGUGAAACUUAAAGCGAAAUUGACGGAAGGACACUACCAGGAGUGGAUUGUGCUGCUUAAUUUAACUCAACGCGGGAAAACUUACCAGGGUCAAGUCAUUCGUUGAUCGAAUACGUGAGAAUGGCAGGAGUGG
This 560-nucleotide ribosomal RNA is filed under the name Enterocytozoon bieneusi. RNAcentral describes it as "SSU rRNA". It matches the Rfam family "Microsporidia small subunit ribosomal RNA", at positions 336 to 901 of the family's 1311-position model. Lineage: Eukaryota; Fungi; Microsporidia; Enterocytozoonidae. The record is from RNAcentral.